CUGACUGCUCGUUGUGUAGAGAUGCAGCCUCUGGUGACGCCUGCUUAUCUAUGAAACAGCCAGUCUGAGGAAGAACCUAGAACUGGACACAGCGUCUUUCAAUUUGUUUUCGGGCCACGGAGGAAUGGUCAGCAAAGAUCGAGGAGGGCUGACCCACAGGAGCCCACAAGGACCACACCAAUGGACUCCCUUGCCCACCGGCAUGCAGUUGGGCCCAGCCCAUGCACAACACUGGCAGGAGAUGGGAGAAGGAGGAGAAUGAGCUCCAGAUGCUUUCCCAGUUUUUUCCUUGCAGAGGUCCCAGUUCCUGCCAGUCGGUCCUCUCCACUCUGUCUGCAGCUUCCAGGAAGCAUCUCCUAACCUUGCCCUCCAGGACGGGGGCUGGGCAUGGCCGUGUCCUGCACAGCCGUAUUGGAGUCUGAGGCAACAGGAAAACUGAAGGCCUCUACAGAAAUGCUUUUAUAUCAUUUUUAAUGAUCUCUUUUGUUUCUGAAACAUUAACUGAACAAAUACUAAAAAUUGAAAAUGGG
Molecule: long non-coding RNA, 530 nt
Organism: Lutra lutra (Eurasian river otter)
Lineage: Eukaryota; Metazoa; Chordata; Mammalia; Carnivora; Mustelidae
Exons: 2
Source: RefSeq, a predicted model, not a curated record